AUGAACGCUGGCGGCGUGCCUCAUCCCUGCCAGUCGCGCGAACAGACGAGGAGCUUGCUCCUCUGACGUUAGCGGCGGACGGGUGAGUAACACGUGGAUAACCUACCUAUAAGACUGGGAUAACUUCGGGAAACCGGAGCUAAUACCGGAUAAUAUAUUGAACCGCAUGGUUCAAUAGUGAAAGACGGUUUUGCUGUCACUUAUAGAUGGAUCCGCGCCGCAUUAGCUAGUUGGUAAGGUAACGGCUUACCAAGGCAACGAUGCGUAGCCGACCUGAGAGGGUGAUCGGCCACACUGGAACUGAGACACGGUCCAGACUCCUACGGGAGGCAGCAGUAGGGAAUCUUACGCAAUGGGCGAAAGCCUGACGGAGCAACGCCGCGUGAGUGAUGAAGGUCUUCGGAUCGUAAAACUCUGUUAUUAGGGAAGAACAAAUGUGUAAGUAACUAUGCACGUCUUGACGGUACCUAAUCAGAAAGCCACGGCUAACUACGUG
This 496-nucleotide ribosomal RNA is filed under the name uncultured bacterium. Its description in RNAcentral is "partial 16S ribosomal RNA". It matches the Rfam family "Bacterial small subunit ribosomal RNA", at positions 29 to 507 of the family's 1533-position model. The record is from RNAcentral.